RNAcentral lists this ribosomal RNA (251 nucleotides) under Spiroplasma endosymbiont of Agyneta unimaculata. RNAcentral's name for it is "partial 16S ribosomal RNA". It matches the Rfam family "Bacterial small subunit ribosomal RNA", at positions 524 to 775 of the family's 1533-position model. Lineage: Bacteria; Bacillati; Mycoplasmatota; Mollicutes; Entomoplasmatales; Spiroplasmataceae. The record is from RNAcentral.
UACAUAGGUGGCAAGCGUUAUCCGGAUUUAUUGGGCGUAAAGCGUGCGUAGACGGUUCUGCAAGUCUGAGGUUAAAUUUAGGGGCUUAACUCCUAACCGCCUUGGAAACUACAGUACUAGAGUAUAGGAGAGGUUAGUGGAAUUUCAUGUGUAGCGGUGGAAUGCGUAGAUAUAUGAAGGAACACCAGUGGCGAAGGCGGCUAACUGGCCUAUUACUGACGUUGUGGCACGAAAGCGUGGGGAGCAAAUAG